AUACGGAGGAUGCAAGCGUUAUCCGGAUUUAUUGGGUUUAAAGGGUGCGCAGGCGGCGCGUUAAGUCAGCGGUGAAAUCUCCCGGCUCAACCGGGGAACUGCCAUUGAUACUGGCGUGCUAGAGUACGGACGGCGCCGGCGGAAUGUGUCAUGUAGCGGGGAAAUGCUUAGAUAUGCCACAGAACACCGAUCGCGAAGGCAGCUGGCGAGGCCGGUACUGACGCUCAGGCACGAAAGCGUGGGGAUCAAACAGGAUUAGAUACCCUGGUAGUCCACGCAGUAAACGAUGAUAACUUGUUGUCGGCGAUAGAGUGUCGGUGACAAAGCGAAAGCGAUAAGUUAUCCACCUGGGGAGUACGAUCGCAAGGUUGAAACUCAAAUGAAUUGACGGGG
Molecule: ribosomal RNA, 393 nt
Filed under: uncultured bacterium
Lineage: Bacteria
Description: partial 16S ribosomal RNA
Rfam family: Bacterial small subunit ribosomal RNA
Source: RNAcentral